GCCUGGGUGGCUCAGUGGUUGAGCGCCUGUCUUCCGCCCAGGGCAUGAUCCUGGAGUCCUGGGAUCAAGUCCCACAUCAGGCU
This is a non-coding RNA of Canis lupus familiaris (dog), 83 nucleotides long. The record is from Rfam. NCBI's taxonomy places the organism in Eukaryota, Metazoa, Chordata, Mammalia, Carnivora, Canidae.